This 86-nucleotide small RNA is filed under the name Salmonella enterica subsp. enterica serovar Oranienburg. RNAcentral's name for it is "partial RtT sRNA". It matches the Rfam family "RtT RNA", at positions 1 to 84 of the family's 130-position model. Rfam says of the family: This family represents a bacterial cis-regulatory element known as RtT RNA. The exact function of RtT is unknown although it is thought that it may be involved in changing the cellular response in relation to amino acid starvation. The record is from RNAcentral. RNAcentral also lists the same sequence under 2 other names. Lineage: Bacteria; Pseudomonadati; Pseudomonadota; Gammaproteobacteria; Enterobacterales; Enterobacteriaceae.
AUAUCUCUCUGUACGGGAAGGAUGAGAAGCUUCGACUAAGGUUCGAUUCGAGCGAAAGCGAGAAAGCGUUGCCGCAGGCAACGACC